RNAcentral lists this ribosomal RNA (117 nucleotides) under Oscillospiraceae bacterium. RNAcentral's name for it is "partial 23S ribosomal RNA". It matches the Rfam family "Bacterial large subunit ribosomal RNA", at positions 2807 to 2925 of the family's 2925-position model. The record is from RNAcentral. Lineage: Bacteria; Bacillati; Bacillota; Clostridia; Eubacteriales; Oscillospiraceae.
AGAUAUCCAACAGGAAACUGAUAAGGUCACUUGAAGACUACAAGUUUGAUAGGUCGGAGGUGGAAGCGCAGCAAUGCGUUGAGCUGACCGAUACUAAUAGACCGAAAGCUUGAACUA